GACGAACGCUGGCGGCGUGCUUAACACAUGCAAGUCGAACGGAAAGGCCCCUUUGGGGGUACUCGAGUGGCGAACGGGUGAGUAACACGUGAGUAACCUGCCCUUGACUUCGGGAUAACUUCAGGAAACUGGGGCUAAUACCGGAUAGGAAUCCUUGCUGCAUGGUGGGGGUUGGAAAGCUUCGGCGGUUUUGGAUGGACUCGCGGCUUAUCGGCUUGUUGGUGGGGUAGUGGCUUACCAAGGCUUUGACGGGUAGCCGGCCUGAGAGGGCGACCGGCCACAUUGGGACUGAGAUACGGCCCAGACUCCUACGGGAGGCAGCAGUGGGGAAUAUUGCACAAUGGGCGGAAGCCUGAUGCAGCAACGCCGCGUGCGGGAUGACGGCCUUCGGGUUGUAAACCGCUUUCAGCAGGGGCGAAGCUUGUGGUGACGGUACCUGCAGAAGAAGCACCGGCUAACUACGU
Molecule: ribosomal RNA, 464 nt
Filed under: uncultured bacterium
Lineage: Bacteria
Description: partial 16S ribosomal RNA
Rfam family: Bacterial small subunit ribosomal RNA
Source: RNAcentral